Molecule: long non-coding RNA, 668 nt
Filed under: Marmota monax (woodchuck)
Lineage: Eukaryota; Metazoa; Chordata; Mammalia; Rodentia; Sciuridae
Source: RNAcentral
GACGGCGGAACUGCCCGGUUAUUUCAAGAAGCCGGCAGCCUCCCCUCCUCGGGCUUGUCGCUGUUUGUUUGAACUUGAGACUUCCUGAGCCUGAAAGGUGUUUGUGGCUCCAGCAGCUCCUGGCUUUGGAGCCGUGUCCACACAGCCUGUCUGAGGAAGGAAGCGUCCAACGCAAAGGCAGAUGGGCGGGUGCGGCCGUCCACUCUGCUCUCUCCCAGAGCUCCAGGCUUCCCUCUGCCCACUCUCCGAGGUGUGGGGGCAGCCCAAGACCUCAGGACAGGCUGCAGGAGGACCGAAGGUGCCUGAGGAUAGGAAGACCAGAGCCCAGGAGGUGGCUUGGGACAGCCAGAGGUCUCCAGGAGCGUGACCACUCAGCACCCAGAGCCUCCUGCAGGCUGCUGGCGCCUGCACGGUCUCCAGCUGUCCCUGUGGAGACCUGAAAGUGGUGGAGACUGCGAGGUGCACUUGGCCGCGGCCACCCUGACCACAAGGUUGGACUGGCCUCUGUCUCUGCCUCAGAGACCCUUGUGAGGGCAGCUCCAUGGCUGAGAAGGGAGCCUCUCGGGGGCCCAUGCGCCGCUUCUGGUCACUGCCCAGGAAGCGUCGGGGAGCCCCAGGGCGCCCAAAGCCAGGUGAGAUGGGAGGGAUGGCAUGGGGACAUGGGGACA